This 1155-nucleotide unclassified non-coding RNA is filed under the name Hevea brasiliensis (rubber tree). The record is from RNAcentral. Lineage: Eukaryota; Viridiplantae; Streptophyta; Magnoliopsida; Malpighiales; Euphorbiaceae.
AAAUAUUAUAUAUAUUUUAUCCCUGGAAUUCAGAUACAGAAUUUCAGUAAAAAUUAAAAAAUGAAGCACAUGAUUAGAGCACAUUACAAUCAAACAAAAAUUUAAAUUUUUAAUGCACUAGGUAUCCCAACCACUCAUAAGGUUAAUUGCACAUAGCUCUGUCCUUAUUAGGAAGUUGCUUUGUUCAUACCAAAUAGAAUUUAUUGUCUGCAGAAUUUCCUCCAAUUUACGCAAAGAUUAUAAUGUUCAAAAAGUACAGAGUACCAUACUCAAUACAUUUGACAGACACAAGCUACUUGUACUAAAAUAACUUAAAUCAAGUCAUGUCAAGCAAAAACACCAGCAAACUCUUUUUUUAAUUAAAAAAAAAAAAGAGUUUAGGUGAGGAAUGCUCCAGGGUCAGUGCAUAUUCAAUUUGACACCAAGACCUGAAUUCAGGCCUGGCUUCCUCCUCUUUUGUGUAAAAAUUUAAAGGGCGACACUUUUAGCUUGGGCACUUGCAUUUUUCCUUUCCGAUUAAAUCAUUCUAAGGACACCAGACGAGGACUUUUAAUAAGAGACAAUUUUGACAAAUUAUAUUAGAUUCUUCUUAUUGUUUGGUCUAAGGUAGGGCUCCCUGCCAAGCAUUUAAGUUGAAGAAAACGAAAGAUAACAUUUGAUGUGACCAUAGGCCCUAAAUGCCCUUGAUCUAAGGGUUAAGUGUGAUAAGUGUGAUUUUGUGACCACAAAAGCAAGAGAUAGUCUUUGGUUUAUAGGAUAUGGGACUCCUUGAGAGGAAAAGAACUUAUCUUUGCCUAACAGUCAAACCAAAAAAGGUCACAAGAGAGUACCUUUUUAUGUCCUACAGAUAUGCCUUUAAGGCACCCCCCCUUCUAUCUAAAUGACCAAAAUGCCAAAAGAAAACAAAGUUUUGAUCCAUAAAAUGACCAAGAUGUCCCUCAUCUAUAGCAAGAAUCAGUGUCGGUAGAAGGACAACAACAGGGCCAAUCUUCCCCACAUAAACAGUUUAUAGUUCUUGCAUUUCCUAGACUUUUAUGCAAAACAAGAAAAAUAAGAACAGUUACAGCAACAGCAACAACUACCGGUUGUUACAGAGUUUGGCCCACGAGGCUGAGCUCACGAGGACAAACAACAUGACAAAUUCUAUUGCCUGCU